AAUAGAGUGAAAACCAUAAAUAUAGUCGAGUUGACCUAAAGAUUAAACAUUGCUGUGAAGGCUGUAGGCCUAAUAAAUGUGUGGAAUCAAGUGUCACUGCACCUGCCCAUGAGCUCAACUGAAGCACUGGACACGUCACUGAACAGACACAGGCUCCACCACCACUCACCUUCAAUCAUCACCUGAGACAAGAAAAGACUGAAAGAUCCGAAAGAAGAGAAUGAAUGGACAACAGUGUGUGAUCCUGUCAUUGUCCGUGAACCCCAGUCUCCACACCAUGAGAAACAGGAGUUUGCACCGAUCCGCCCACCAAACCCCAGGAUUUUCAUUUGGAUCCAUUCUAUAGCCCCGCCCUCUCACCCUAAGCCAUGCGUCCAGUCCAUGCAUGACAGUUCCCAACAUCCCCUGCCAAAAGUGUUUCCUAGAUGCAUCAUGAUUCAUGACACUAUCGGCUUCCUGACCUCUGAGUUCUGUGUCUUGCACUUUUUUACAUUUAUAAUCCGAGCCUGUCAACGGUUUCUUACCGGCUUGCGAGACGCUGCCCCCACAAUGUGCUGUCUUGCGCCUGUACGGCCUCAUGAGGUUUGUUUGUGUGUCUAUGUGAUUCCACUCCAUGAACACGUUCGUAUAGAUGCACUCCAUAAAAUAAAGAGUAGCACAGGGUCUUGUCAUUCCUCCACAGCUUAAUCAGGAGCUACACAGAGGAGAGGAGCACAGCAGCCCGUACCUUCCUGAUCAUUCUAAUGAGGACCCCUGGCAAUGCAGUCAGUGAAGUAUAAUUGACUUGUUCGUCUCUUAUUUUCAUAAUAGACACUCCCUGACCCAGAGCACAUUUAGUUUGCUAUGAGAGAUGUCAGAAAGCAUUGGAAGUUUCCUCUGCAUGCCCAUUAAAUCUGAAGGCAUGCCACCCUGUCCUCAGCCAGCAAGCACUGUCAUUGGCUGCCCAGCUCAUUAUGCAGAUAGGAAAAGCAAGUAAAUGAUUCCCAGAUUGGGCGAAAAACCUUCUGUGCCUGUACACACCCUGCACCCCCUCCACACCGGAGCCUUUCAAUGCAUCCAACCAGACAAAAAAAAUGCAAUUCUGUUGCUCUGAAAAAAUAAGUUACAUAUAAAUGAUAAAAGUGCAGCAGUGCCCCUUGACGUGAAAACCUGGUGAAGCGUGUGGAUGUCAUUGUUGUUGCAACAAGGCCUGCCAUCUACCUUUCAGGACCGAUUGAAAUCAAAUUACAUAUUUUUUGCAAAGGUAAGGGUUAGCCAGCGAGGGUGAGCCCUGGAUCUCUGUCCCUGCUAGCUGAUAUGAAACAGAACAGCUGUGGAUAUCAAUGCCCCCGCGCA
Long non-coding RNA from Sinocyclocheilus grahami, 1335 nucleotides. RefSeq lists it as uncharacterized. Lineage: Eukaryota; Metazoa; Chordata; Actinopteri; Cypriniformes; Cyprinidae. The transcript has 3 exons. The record is from RefSeq and is a predicted model, not a curated record.